This 19371-nucleotide long non-coding RNA is filed under the name Nicotiana tabacum (common tobacco). Its description in RNAcentral is "long non-coding RNA (NTAB_LNC007730)". The record is from RNAcentral. Lineage: Eukaryota; Viridiplantae; Streptophyta; Magnoliopsida; Solanales; Solanaceae.
AGCUUUUAAGAUUUAGAUUUUUAUAAAACUGAAUUGAAAUUAUUACAACAUCCGUUUGAAAUGUAAACGAACAGAAUUCGAAUCUAAUGCUACCAAGGACAAGUGAUAGCCAUAACUGGAACGCAAGUACAUCUUCAAAUCCAACUCCCGCCGUACGAAGCAACAUCAGUAUCCAACAUCCACGUAAGGUGCAGAAGUGUAGUAUGAGUACAACCGAUUUCAUGUGCUCAAUAAGUAACAAACCUAACCUUAGGUUGAAAGUAGUGACGAGUUGGGGCAAGGGUCAGAGUCCAACUCCAAUAACCAGCAACAGUUCAUAAUAAUCAUAAUAAAAAUAGUGCCAGAAGAUAACCCAGAAGUAUGAUGCUCAACUCGCUCACAGUUACGGGAAAAUAGGUAUGUUUUUCAAAUAAAAUAGUAAAACCCAAAUCUUUUACUGAAAGCACCAAAAUAUGAGUAAGUUUGUAAAAUCGUGAUUUUCUUUCCAAAACUUUUCAACAAGUAAAUGUUUCAUUAUCAAAUGGUACGAAGAAAGUACAUCUCUAUGCCUAUAUGUCAAUGUGUAUGAGCAGUCAUGGAUGACGUGAUACCAUACAACAUGAGAAAAAUGCAUCUCUAUGCAUAUAUGUCAAGUGUGCAUAUCGAAUGCAAUACAACAUAGCGAAUAACCAUAUGCAUAUUCUCAGAGUAUCAAUCCACUCAGUCCUCCCAGUCACUCGGUCCUCCCAAUCACUCACUCCCCACAGUCACUCAAUCCUCCCAAUCGCUCGGCACUCGCACUCGCACUUACAUUCGCACUCAAGAGGUACUUGCGCCCACUGUGAAUGUGCAGACUCCGGAGGGCAAUUCCAGUCCAAUCAUUAUAAUAAGCCAAUCAUGGCAUGAAUCAAAUAAACAUGUUGCGGCGUACAGUCCGAUCCCAUAAAUAUCCUCACAAACAGGCCCUCAGCCUCACUCAGUCAUCAAUCUCUCCAGUCUCUGGGGCUCACAAGAAUCAAGAUAAUCAGACCAAACAGUGAUGAUAUGAUUUAUAAAUAAAGGACAAUAAAGACUGAGAUAUGAUAAGUAAAUAAUAGCUGUGACUAAGUAUAAAUUUCAAAUUAAGCAAUUAAUUCAAAAUGUAACACGGCCUCUACGGGUCCAAACAGUGCCAACAUGUGGCUUAAGCAUAAUUUCUAACAUGGAUCACAGCUCAAUUACUCUAGCACGUAGAGAUUUCAUGGUUACAAAUAAGAUUAGGUAACUAUGCAGUACUACAGAAAUAACUUAAUCACAAUUCACACGGCGCACGCCCACUCGCCCGUCACCUAGCAUGUGCGUCACCUCAGCACCAAACACAUAUCACGCAUAUUCAGGGGUUCAUACCUCAGCAUCAAGUUUAGAAGUGUUACUUACAUCGAACAAGCCAAAUCCAAUACCGAGCAAGCCAAACGAUACUCCUAAAAUGCCAUUUCGCGCGUACCGACCUCCGAACGGCUCGAAACUAGCUAAAAGCAACUCAAAUACAUCAAAUAAUACCUAAGGAAAUAAUUCUAUAUGAUAAAGGUCGAAUCUUUAAUCAAAAGCCCAAAGUCAACCAAAAAUUCAAAUCCGGGCCCGCACCUCGGAACCCGCCAAAGCUUACAAAAUCCAACAACCUAUUCGAUUACGAGUCUAACCAUACUAUUUUCACUCAAAUUCGACUCUGAAUCGAUGUUCAAAACUCAAAAAUUCACUCUAUGAAACUUUAGACAAAAUCCCCCAAAUUCUCUCUUGAAACCCUCAAUCAAAUGCAAAAAACGAAGAUAGAUUCAUGAUAUAAAAUAAAAAAUGAGUAGAGAACAUUUACCCCAAUCCACAUGGUGAAAAUCGCUUCAAAAAUCGCUAAAUCCAGAGGUCCCCAACUUAAAAUAUGGAUAAAUGGCUCAACGGUCCGAAAUUGGACAUUAAAUCCACUGCCCAGGCUUCCUUCUUCGCGAUCGCGGACAUCCCUUCGCGAUCGCGAUGAACAAAUUCUUCAACAACAAUUUCCAAACUCUUCCUAGACAACCUCUAGUAUAAUAAUCAUAACUUUUUGUACAAACCUCCAAAUAAUAAAUGGUUUGACUUUAUGAAAACUAGACAUCAAGGGCUACAACUUUUAUUUUUAGAUCAUCUCCAAGUUUCUUAUAGAUUGCAAGAUAUAAACUUCCAAAGUUAGCCCUGUGCAACAUAAAUUUCUCCUAUGCGAUCGCGAAAAGGUUUACGUAAUCGCGAUUCACAAGGCCCUAAACUGCAGUUUUCUCUUCGCGAACGCGACUAAAUGUUCGCGAUCGCGAUGCACACCUCUGUUGCCAAAAAUCAGCAAUUAAAAAUGGUCUGAAACUACCCUGAAACUCACCCGAACCCUCGGGGUUCCACGCCAAACAUAAACACAAGUCUAGAAAUAUCAUGCGAACUUGCUCGCGCGAUCAAAUCACCAAAAUAAUACCUGAAACCAUGAAUCGGACAUCAACACGCAUGAAAUUUGAAGGGAGAACUCAAGAACUUCUAGAAUUGCAACCAAGCGUCUGAAUGCUAUCAAACCGACUCUGAACGACCCCAAAUUUUGCAAGCAAGUUCCAAAUCAUAAAGCAGACCUACUCGAUGUUUCAAAUCUCACUUAACAACAUCAAAAUCACAAAUUGCAUCUCAAAUCGACUUAAUGAAGUUAAUGAACUUUCAAAAUUCAAAACUAACGGCGAACAAGCCUAAACACCUCAGAUUGAUCUCAAAUUUGGAACACAAGUCAUAAAUGACAUAACGGACCUACUAUAACUUCUAAAAUCAAAAUCCGACCCUGAUAUCAGUAAAGUCAAACCUAUGAACAUUUCUAAACCUUCAAAUUUCUAACUUUCGCCAAUUAGUGCUGAAACCCUCUAGAAUUAUCCAAAUACAAAUCCGGGCAUAUGCCCGAGUCCAAAAUCACCAUCCGGACCUAACAGAAUCAUCAAAACUUGGAUCUGAGGUCGAAUACUAAAAAGUCAAACUUGGUCAACUCUAUCAACUUAAAGCUUCAACUAUGAAAUUCAUUCUUCCAAACUAAUUCUGAAACACCUGAAUAUCAACGCCGAUGAUUCACACACAUCAUAAUACAUCAUAUGAAGCUACUCAAGUUAAAAUAGCUGAACGGAAUGUAAAUUCUCAAAACGACUGGUCGGGUCGUUACAAAUAGGUUAGGAUCAUUUUUAAGACAAAAAAAUAAUAUGGAAGGAUGGUAUUUUUAAGCCAAAUUCAAUAUGUUAGGACCAUUUUUUUACCAUUUGAUGUAAAAAUAUGGGAAUUAUAGAGUAUAAAUACACCAUAAGUUUUUAUUGAGUUCUCUUUGGAACUUCUACUUAACACCUUUCGGUUUGUAAAUAAUAAUAUUAGUAUUUGAGUGUAGGCAGGCCUUUUUUAAGCUUAAGCAAGGUGCAGAAGUAUAGUAUGAGUACAACCGAUCCUAUGUACUAAAUAGGUAUCUUGACUAACCUCAGUGAAAUAGUGACGAAGCUUUUUAGUUAAAUGAUACUCACUGAUAUAAUCUGUGCAGUAGACUAACAAUAGAACAAUACUAGAACAUAACAGAAAAGAAUACAAGAAACAAAUAUGCGAAGCAGUAAAUGAUUACUAGAAGAAAUCACGAUUAAUAUUCCUCAAUAUCACGACCAAUCCUUUCCUUAGAGCGAUAACCAACAAACCACGGUAGUAAAUUCAUAACUUUCAUAGUGUGAGAAAUAUACUCAAGAUAUCAAAUCAAUGGCACAACAACACCCUUCAUGCAUUUAUCUCUUUCUCACCAAAUAUACGUAUAACAGUACCAACCAGAUGAAAAAAAAAUACCAAUCAGUAAUGACAAAGUGGAAAAUACACAAGUAGCAAUAACUAUCAAGGCAGUACAUAUGGACAACAGUAAUAGACUAGGUAGAAGGCAUGGGAGUAAUGACAACAAUUAGGAAAGAAGAACAUAAAUUUCACUAACUAACAUGGUAAAAGGCCUAUAUAUAGAUAUAACAAAAAAGAGGUAAAACAUGGUCUUUAUGAGCUAACAAAUAAGAGGCAUGAAUAACUAACAUGGUAAAAGGCUUAUACGAAAGUGCAACAAAUAAGAAACGGCAUGGAUGUAGAUAUGAUAACAAGAAGGAAAGCAUGAUAUUUGCAAGUUAAAACAGAUAGAAGGCAUGGACAACAUAACGGCAAUUGAGAUAGAGGACAAAGACAGAACAACAAUGACAACCACAUAGAAAACAUAGGUACAACAGUAACAACUCAAGGUAAAGGCAUGAAUAUAUACACAAGGAAAAUAUAUCACAACAUAAUGCAUGUCCCUCGUCCUCGCCUAUACGGAAACAACCUUUGUGCCAUGAAUACAUGAUAAUAUAAAAAUAUGAUAAUGUAAAUGAAGUGGCACGGUAUCACCCUUCGUGCUUUUACUCUCAUCCUCACAUGAUAAUAUAAAUGAAAUGGUACGGCAUCACCCUUCGUACUUUUACUCUCAUCCUCACAUGAUAGUGUAAAUGAUAGCAUGAUAAUAUAAAUAAAAUUACACAAUAUCACCCUUCGUUCUUUUACUAUCAUCCUCACAUGAUAAUGUAAAUGAUAGCAUGAUAAUAUAAAUGAAAUGGCACGGCAUCACCCUUCGUGCUUUUACUCGCAUCCUCACAUGACAAUAUAAAUGAAAUGGCACGGCAUCACCCUUCGUGCUUUAACCUCUUCCUCACAUGAUAAUGUUUAUGCAAUGGCACGACAUCACCCUUCGUGCUUUACACUAUUCCUCACCAAGCACAUGUAUAUCAAUAACAAGCAAGGUAGAAAACAUAAAUAACAUCAAGAGGGUGUUUAAGCGAAUAUUCCAAAUGAACAUCAAUCACAACUUUCAAGCCAAUAACAAUUCAAUAAACCUUAAGUACUUUAUUGCUCAAGUAUUUCAGUAAGUCUCAAAAAUGAUCUUCAACUCAAGUAUAGAAUCCAAUAUCUCAAGAAUAACGGUCGUAGCGACGUAUUAAUGAUUAAAAAAGGGUGAUGACCAAAUUUAACAUAUCAAUAGUUUCACAAAAAUCCGUCAAAUUUUAAUCAAAUUAUAAUAAGCUAAAUCUUGGUUUCUAACAUUUAAUUUCAUAUUCUUAGUAAUCUAGAAGUCAAGUGAGACAUGAAGCAAGAAGGUCACAUACUUCUAUAAGGCUCAAUUAAUCGUAUAACAUACCCCCGAGCAUGAUUAACCUAGGCACAUGCAUAUACGCUCGUCACCUCAUAUAUGCAUCACCCCUGCAUGUAGCAAACAAUGUCAAUUAGUAGGAAAAUUCCCUGAUGGUAGGCUAUAAUUGCGUAUUUUUGGUCAUUAAUUGCCCUCUAAUUCACUGCACUUUACUAGUGUUUGAGUUUUAAAUGGUAUUAUUUGGCACUAAGUAUGUGUUUUAUGCCUUAUAGGAACGAUUCCGAGUUACGAUGAGUUUGUGGAGCUAAUUCGAGCUAUUGUGGAGCUAAUUCGAGCUAUUGUGGAGCUUUGAAGUCUGAGUAAAAGCCUAAGGAUUAAGUUGGAAUCGUGUUUGGGGAUCAACAGACAAUAGUGCACUUAACGAGAGAAAUGAAGAGUUGAACGGGAGGCUCACCAAGAUGUACGACCGCAUAUGAGACCCCUCCAGCAGGCCCUUGAGCGCGCAAGUAAAGCAGUGCACCGCCAGAGGUGCGCGGCCAUAUGAGCGAUCACACCUUUAGGUGCGCGGCCACGCACGUCCAGUUCCGGAAACUUAUCCCAAGCCUAUUUUUGUAAUUUUGGAGGCGCCUCCUUUUGACCUAUAUGAAGCCUAGCUCAUCUAAAAAUAGGGUAUCUUGGAAUUUUAGAGCAACUUUUGGGAGAGAAGAAGAAAGGAAGCAACGGGAACGCAAAAUACUUGAUCCAAUUCAUUCAAUACGGAAGUUUGUUUGAUUUUGGGAAUUGUAAUGUCUUCUUGUUCUUCUAAUACUCUUGUGAUGAAUAACUUCUCCACUAUAGAGUAAUCUUUCUUAGGGUUAUUGACGAAUGUCGUGAUUUGACUAUUGUUUUGGAUUUUACUCUCUGUUCAUUGCCUGAAUUCAUUGAAUGAGUUAUUAAUUGAAUUGCAAGUCUAAUUGUGGUUUUACUUUAAUCCAAAGAGAAGUGUUGGUGCAAUUCGCAUUGUGCCAUAUUGUUUGGGUUGAUUUUACGCCUCUCAUAGGUAAUCGAAAGAGCUUAGAGAGUUAUCAAUUAACCUAGGUUAGAAGAAUAGUCGAGAGGCAUUCUUCGAAAGAUCAUUCAUUCACUAUAUUUGUGCAUAUGUUCAUAGGACGUGCUUUUAGGUUGAUUAAGGGAACUCUCAUUCAUUCAGAAGAAGAAUUUGAAUCCCCAAGGUAGCCUAAUCGUCUGUUGAAAUCGAAUGAGUCAAUAGAAGUUAAAAGUGAACUUAACAUAGAGUUACCCGGAAUAAUAGUUGAUCCAAUAUCUUGUCACAACCCUUACUUCUCACCUUGAUAUUCAAUCAUUUCUACUUAGUCAUUAGAUUGCCAUUAGUUUCUUACAAUCAAUAAUCUUAGUUUUAUUAGUAGUCGAUAAUAACAUAAAUCAAAGAUUUAUUAUCUCGAAUAGUGUUGAGCUGAAGAUUUAUUAGAAUAUUAUUUAAACCAAUCCCUAUGGAGACGAUUUAAUACUAUACCAUCUUUGACUAGCGAGCCUAAGUUUUAUACGCCGAUUUUGCACUCGUUAAAUUUUGGCGUCAUUGCCAGAGAUUGGCGAUUAAUAGUGUUUGAAUUAACUUUCGGUGCUAAUUCAGGAGUUAUUUUAUUUUGUUUUGUUUUUUUACGCUACUCUUUUAUCUGUGUGCAGGCAACAGGUUAAGUUUUGCGGUGUAUGACUCGAUCCUCUUCUAAGGAAUUGGUGCCAUACGAUCCAAAAUUAGACAAGCACUUGCGGCAUUUGAGAAGGGAGAGAGAAUCGAGCAGAUUGUUGUUGGGUCAGCCUUCAACUGAGAAUAAAAUGGUGAACAACGAAGAGGAGGUGGACCUAGCUGCGAGAGAGGUAGCUCAGUGACAGGAAGCACGGUUAGUAGUUGAAGCAGCCCGUAGAGUUGUGGAUGAAACAAUCGACGGGGAUAGAAGGUUCAAUCUCAACCGAACCAUGAUCGAAGAUAAAUUUGAAAAUGCAUCCCCUUGGCCUGGGAGGUCACUAGGAGAUUAUGCCUGACCGGUGUACAACCAACAAUAGUCUAGCGUGAGGCCCCCACCCAUUGAUGCCAAUAAUUUUGAACUCAAACAGGGAGUCAUCCAGACCAUUCAGAACAAUUGCAUAUUCAGAGAUAGAAGAAAAAGAGAGUGAAGAGCAAAAUGGCCAGAGUAGCAGGGUACAAAAGGAGAUUGAAGAAAGUAGACAUAUGCUAGCUCUACCAUUCCCUUAAAAGAUGAAGCGGGAGAAACUUGACAAAUGUUUUGGGUGAUUCCUGGAGAUGCUCAAGCAACUUUAUGUAAACAUUCCUUUCACAGAGGUACUCACUCAGAUGCCUGCUUAUGUCAAGUUCUUAAAGGAUAUCCUGUCGAGCAAGAGAAAAUUAGAGGAAACAAUUGUGGUUAAGCUAAACACCCACUGCAGUGCCAUCUUGCAAAAUAAAAUUCCCUAAAAGUGUGGGGACCCAGGAAGCUUCACCAUACCAUGCUCAUUGGGGAGUGAAAAAUUCUACAAGGCCCUCUACGAUUCUGGUGCGUCUAUAAAUCUAAUGUCUCUAUCUAUAUUCAUAAAACUGGAAGGUGAGCUUGGAGUGAUCAAAUCAAUAUCAGUGUCCCUACAACUGGCUGACCAAACUAUCAUUAUACCUGAGGGAAUCAUCGAGGAUAUUUUAGUACGGGUGGACAAGUUUAUGUUCCCCAUAGAUUUUAUUGUGGUGGAUAUGGAGGUGAACAAGGAGGUACCUCUAAUUCUAGGGAGGUCGUUCUUAUGUACAGGUAGAGCUAUCCUUAAUAUCUAUGAAAGGCAGCUUAUGCUCAGAGUGGGCAAUGAAAAUGUGGUGUUUCAGAUGAAGAGGGUGAUGAAAUACCCUAGUGAUGAGGCAUCCGCCUACUUGUGUUUCAAGUUAGACAUUGUUGGAGAAUUGACCGAAAAAUAUAAUUUUGACAAGCUUGUGGGGGAUACCCUAGAGAGGUGUAUUACUCAGUCUAGCACAGUGGAGGAUGAAGAUCUUGAAAUAAAGAAAGAGGUUGAAGCUCUUGAGACUAAGGAUCAAGUGGUUGAUGAGGAUGAACUAAAAGAGGAGGAUGCUAAGCCUAAUGUGGAAUUGCAAGUCCUCCCCACUCACUUAAAAUAUGCUUUUCUUGAAAAUAACAAUUUUCCUGUGAUUAUUUCUGCUGACUUGACAGGUACAUAGGAGCGAAAGCUGGUGGAGCUACUGAAAAAGCACAGGAAGGCCAUGGGAUGGAGUAUAGCUGAUAUUCACGGAAUCAGUCCGGCCAUUUGCAUGCACAAAAUUCUGUUGGAAGAAAAUAGCAAGCCAGUGAUGCAGCCUCAACACAAGCUGAACAAAAAUUUGGAGGAGGUAGUGCACAAGGAGAUCAUCAAAUUGCUAGAUGCAGGAGUAAUUUUUCCCAUCUCUGAUACCAAGUGGAUUAGUCCAGUAAAAGUUAUACCUAAGAAGGGGGGCAUGACAGUAGUGAAAAAUGAAGAUAAUGAAUUGAUCCCCAUAAGAACAGUCACUGGGUAGAGAAUGUGUAUUGAUUAUAGAAGGUUGAAUGAUGCAAUAAUGAAGGACCACUUCCCACUCCCCUUUUUUUGAUCAAAUGCUCGAGAAAGUGGCUGGACAUGGAUGCUACUGCUUCUUGGAUGGGUACUCAGGUUACAAUCAGAUACCCAUUGCUCCAGAAGAUGUUAAGAAGACCACAUUUACUUGCCCGUCAGGUAUUUUUGCUUAUAGAAGGAUGUCGUUUGGGCUAUGUAAUGCACCUGCCACUUUUUAGAGGUGCAUGAUGUCUAUAUUCUCUGAUUUAAACGAAAAGUGUUUAGAAGUAUUCAUGGAUGAUUUCAGCCUCUUUGGUGAUGACUUUGAGGACUGCUUGAAGAAUUUAGAGCUCGUGCUUGAACGUUGUGAAGCCAUACACUUGGUCCUUAACUGGGAGAAGUGUCACUUCAUGGUGAAGGAGGGAAUGGUCUUAGGCCACAAAAUGACUGCACAAGGAAUUGAAGUUGAUAGAGCGAAGGUUGAUGUGAUUGCUAGGCUCCCUCCACCAACUUUUAUGAAGAGCAUAAGGAGUUUCUUGGGACAUGGUGGGUUCUAUAGGAGGUUCAUCAAAAACUUUUCUAGCAUUACCAAACCAUCAAUUGUAUUGCUAGCAAAAGAUGUCAAGUUUGUUUUCAAUGUGGAGUGCUUAAGAGCUUUUGAAUUGAUAAAGGAAAAGCUUGUAAGUGCUCUUAUUAUGGUGACACCUGAUUAGAUCCAGCCAUUUGAGAUAAUGUGUGAUGCUAGUGAUGUAGUUGUAGGGGAAGUUCUGGGGUAAAGAAAAGAUAGAAUUUUUAGGCCAAUCUACUAUGCAAGCAAGACAUUAAAUGAUGCUCAAGUCAACUAUGCCACUACUGAAAAAGAGUUCUUUGUUGUGGUCUUUCUUCUUGACAAGUUUAGAUCAUACCUGGUGGGGAGCAAAGUGAUUGUACACACGGAUCACUCAGCUUUGAAAUAUCUUUUGAGCAAGAAGGAGUCCAAGUCGUGUCUGAUGCGGUGAGUGUUAUUGCUCCAAGAGUUUGACUUGGAGAUUAAAGAUAGGAAAGGCGCAGAAAAUCAAGUUGCCGAUCAUCUAUCUCGACUUGAGAGACCUCCAGUUGAAACAGUUAAAUAAGGGAAGAAUUCCCUGAUGAGCAUAUUUUCUCAAUUGUUGCGGUCUCCGAAAGGCCACCUUGGUAUGCUGAUGUAGCCAGCUUUUUGGCUGGUGGAUGAUUACCUCAUGACCUCUCUCGUGAUCAAAGAAGGAAGCUUCAAGAUGAGGUAAAAAUUUAUUUUUUGAAUGACCCUUUCUUGUUUAAACUGUGUAUAGAUGGUAUGAUUUGAAGAUGUGUGCCUGAAGGAGAGAUGGCAAGCGUUCUGUCUCAUUACCAUGAUGGAGCAGCUGGAGGACACUAUGGUGGAAAUCGCACUGCAGCAAAGGUCAUGGAAGCAUGUUUCUUUUGGCCUACUUUGUACAAAUACGCAAGAGCGUAUGUAGCUGCAUGUGACAAGUGUCAAAGGACAGUAAUAUUAGCAAGAGGGACGAAAUGCCUCUCAACUCAAUUCUAGUAUGUGAAAUUUUUUAUUUGUGGGGCAUUGACUUCAUGGGUCCAUUCCCAUCGUCCCAUUCUUAUGAGUAUAUCCUAGUAGUCGUUGACUAUGUCUCUAAGUGGGUCGAAGCAAUCCUUACUAGGACCAAUGAUGCUCCGAUGGUGUGUGAGUUCUUAAGAAAAAACAUCUUUACCCACUUUGGGACACCUCGAGUGAUUAUCAGUGAUAGUGGGUCACACUUUGUGAACAAGCAGUUUGCUACACUAUUGUCUAAGUAUGCGGUCACACAUAAAACAGGAACCCCGUGCCAUGCCCAAACUAGUGGGCAAGUUGAAGUGGCUAACCGUGAACUUAAACGAAUUCUUGAAAAGAUGGUUAGUGCUUCUCAUAAGGAUUUUUCUGUAAAGUUGGAAGAAGCUCUAUGGGCGUACAGAACUGCGUUCAAAACAACCAUAGGGACUUCACCGUUCAAACUAGUGUAUGAAAAAUUAUGUCACCUACAUGUUGAGAUAGAACAUAAAGCCAGUUAUAUGUUCUACCCACCUAACUGUUAUGUAUGUUAGUUAACCUCUUUGAGCAUGUAAUCUAGUUUAUUUGGCAACCACAUUACAAGUCUUGCCCAGUUAUUUGAAUUGACCAUCUAUUUGUACCUUUUACCUCUCAUGAGCACUUGAAUUUGUUAUGAACUUUGUAGAAGUUGAAGUGUGGGGUGGUUGGAUUGGCUUUUGUGUGGAACUAAUGAAAUAAGAAGAAAGGUGCACUAGUUUGAAAAAGUAAGAGCCACUUGAAUCGAAAUAAAAAUAUAUAUUGUAUGGGUGUGUAAAUAUUCCUUGAUAGUGGUAUCUCUUGAUGUAAUUGUGCUUAAAGAAAUAGGGAGUUAAUGUAUAUUGACGUGAAAGUGGAGUAAUGGUUUGAAAUAAGUGUGGGGUUUUGGAAGGUAAAUUGUAUGUAUUAAAGUGCUUAGAGAGGUGUAGUCACUCUUAUAUCUAAAUGUAUCAUAUCCAUCCCAUAGCUUACAUUACAACCAAUUAAAGUCCUACUUGAUCCUUGACUGAAUGAACUCGAUUAGUAGAGUAGUACACUAAGGGCAAGCCUAUAGUUCAUCUUUUGUGGCAUAUGAAUGUUGUUUCUGAGAGUGAGUGAAUUCUUUCUAUCUUGAGUUCUUAAUUAUUUGUAAUGUUUAUUGUGUGGAACUACUCUCUAUUUUUGUGGGAGGGCACUGGAUUCACGAAGGAAAGGUAAUGCUUGACCUCUGUGUUAGAGUAAGUGAGUGAGUUAUAAAUAAUGUGUGGUGCUUUUGAGUCAAAUCUUGAGGUUAAGAUGUACGAUAUUGUACUUAAUCUAUUUUAAAGAGUCUUGGUAUGAUGAGUCAUGAGAGUUGUUGAAAAAGGUCGUAUUUUAGGUGAAGUGUAGUUUGAUUGCUCGAGGACGAGCAAUGGUUUAAGUAUGGGGUGUUGAUGGUAGGCUACAAUUGCGUAUUUUUGGCCAUUAAUUGACUUCUAAUUCGCUGCACUUUACUAGUGUUUGAGCUUUAAAUGAUAUUAUUUGGCAUUACGUAUGUGUUUUAUACCUUGUAGGAGCGAUUUUGAGUUACGAUGAGGUUGUGGAGCUAAUUCGAGCUAUUGUGGAGCUUUGAAGUCUGAGUAAAAGCUAAAGGAUUAAGUUGGAAUCGUGUUCGGGGAUCAACGGACAAUAGUGCACUUAAAGGGAGAAACGAAGAGUUGAGCAGGAGGCUCACCCAGAUGCGCGACCGCGCAUGAGACCCUUCCAACGCGCACUUGAGCGCACAACUAAAGCAGUGCACUGCCAGAGGUGCGUGUCCAUAUAUGCGAUCACACCUACAGGUGCGCGGCCGCGCACGUCCAGUUCCGGAAACUUUUCCCAAGCCUAUUUUUGUAAUCUCUGAGGCGCCUCCUUUCGACCUAUAUGAAUCCUAGCUCAUCUAAAAACAGGUUAUCUUGGAAUUUUAGAGCAACUUUUGGAAGAGAAGAAGAAAGGAAACAACGGGAACACAAAAUACUCGAUCCAAUUCAUUCAAUACAGAAGUUUAUUUGAUUUUGGGAAUUGUAAUGUCUUCUUGUUCUUCUAAUACCCUUGUGAUGAAUAACUUCUCCAUUAUGGAGUAAUCUUUCUUAGGGUUAUUUACGGAUGUCGUGAUUUGACUAUUAUUUUGGGUUUUACUCUCUCUUCAUUGCCCGAAUUCAUUGAAUGAGUUAUUAAUUGAAUUGUAAGGCUAAUUAUGGUUUUACUUUAAUCGAAAGAGAAGUGUUGCUGCAAUUCGCUUUGUGGCAUAUUGUUUGGGUUGAUUUUACGCCUCUCAUAGGUAAUCGAAAGAGCUUAGAGAGUUAUAAAUUAACCCAUGUUAGAAGAAUAGUCGAGAGGCAUUCUUCGAAAGAUCAUUCAUUCACUGUAUUUGUGCAUAUGUUCAUAGCAACUGCUAUUAGGUUGAUUAAGGGAACUCUCGUUCAUUCAGAAGAAGAAUUUGAAUCCCUAAGGUAGCCUAAUCGUCUGUUGAAAUCGAAUGAGUCAAUAGAAGUUAAGAGUGAACUUAACACAAAGUUACCCGGAAUAAUAGUUGAUCACAUAUCUUGUCACAGCCCUUACUUCUCACCUUGAUAUUCAAUCGUUGCUACUUAGUCAUUAGAUUGCCAUUAGUUUCUUACAAUCAAUAACUUUAGUUUUAUUAGUAGUCGAUAAUAACACAAAUCAAAGAUUUAUUAUCUCGAAUAGUGUUGAGCUGAAGAUUUAUUAGAACAUUAUUUAAACCAAUCCAUGUGGAGACGAUUUAAUACUAUACUAUCUUUGACUAGUGAGCCUAAAUUUUAUACACCGAUUUUGCGCUCAUCAUUCCCUUUACAAAGAUAGGCCAGACACUUACAUCAAACAAGCCCAAUCGUUACACUAGAAGCGCCAUCCCGCUCAAAUCAUCCCCUGAACGACUCGAAACUAGCUAAAAGCAACUCAAAAUCAUCAAAUAAUGCCAUAGGAAGCAAACCCAAUCAAUAAAGGUCGAAUAUUUACAUAUUUACUCAAAGUCAACAAAAAAUUCAAACUGGGGACCACACCUCAGAACCCGACAAAACUCAUAAAAUUUGAUAACCUAUUUAAUUACGAGUCCAACCAUACUAAUUUCACUCAAUUCCGACUACGAAUCAAUGUUCAAAACUCAAAAAUUCACUUUAGAAAAAUUUAGACAAAACCCCCAAUUUCUCUUUUGAAAUCAUCAAUCAAUUGCUAAAAAUAAAGAUGGAAUCAUGAAAUAUAAUCAAAACCAAGUAGAGAAUACUUACCCCAAUCUAUGUGUUGGAAAUCACCUAAAUCCGAGCUCCCCAACUCAAAAUGUUAUGAAAUAACUCAGAGUUUGAAAAUAUAGUACUUUAUAAUAACUGGGCAGCAAUACACAUCGCGAUCGCAGGACAUCCUUUGCGAUCACGAAGAACAAAUGCUACUACCAUCAAAAUACUCUACGCGUUCGCGAUACUGGCCACGCGGACGCGAUGACCACAUGCGCUAAAUCUCUACGAACGCGAACUGACUUGCGCAAAUGCGAUGAAGAAUUCUCCAGCUCCUGCUCCCGCUCAACCCUACGCGUCCGCGAUACCCCAUGCACGAACGUGAACUGUAACCAAUCUAACCCUUCGCGAUCGCAUAACAUUUAUCGUGUCCGUGAUGAAAAAAUCCACCAGUAGACCAAAUUACUCUUCGCGAUCGCGACUGGACCUUCGCAAUCAUGAAGAACACUAGGGGCAUCAGAUAACAGCAGAAACCGUCAAUGCAUGAAAACUCCAAAAUGGUCCGAAAUCAACCCGAAACGCACCUGAGCCCCUCGUGACCCCGUCCAAACAUACCAACAAGUCCCAUAACAUAACAUAGACUUACUCAUGCCUAACAACAUCAAAACUACAAAAUCGCACCUUAAAUCGAACUUAAUAAACUUUUAACUUUCAACUUCUAAAUCUCGUGCCGCAUCAUACCAAAUCAACUCGGGUUGACCUCAAAUUUUUGCACACAAGUUCCAAAUGACAUAACGAAGCUAUUCCAACUCUCGGAACCAAAAUUUGAUCCCAAUAUCACUAAAGUCAACUUCCGGUCAAACUUAUGAAUAUUCCAAAACUCCAAAUUGCCAACUUUCGUCAAUUAACAUCAAAACCUUCAAGAAACAUCCAAAUGCAAAUUCGUGAAUACGCCCAAGUCCAAAAUCACCGUCCAGAUCUAAUAGAACUGUCAAAACUCCGAUCAGGGAUCAAAUAUAUAAAAGUCAAACUUAGUCAACUCUUCCAACUCAAAACUUUUAAACGGAAUGUAAAUGCUCAAAACGACCGGUCAGGUCGUUACAUUUAAAUAAAGAGAUAAGGUCUAAAUUUAAUCAUCAAUUAAUACCCUAUCUAGUAGGUGCACAAUAACUUGACAAAAUAAUUAUAACGUAAAUAUAAUUAUCUAUAAAGUUGUGAAAAAAUAUUUAAAAAAUUAUGAAAACAUGAUAUCAACACCAAAUAUCAUUAGCUAUAGAUUUUUUAUUGUAAAAGACCUCAAUAGAUUGAGAGAGGUUAAUAUGAUAGAAUAACUAUUGUGGCUUUUCAUAACUAUGCAAGUUCACUUAAAUGUCUCCUCCUCCCCUUAACACAAAAGAGAAUACAAAACGGUCAAAUAAGUUCAAAAAAUGUUAAAGGAGAAAAACUGAAGCUCAUGCAGUAAAGGGAUCGAGAAUAAAACAUACUAGUGUAUGAUUCUAGAGGGAUCGUAGAUGGAGAAGCUUUUAGAGCUACCUUCUUUUAAUAAAUAUCAACAACAACAACAACAACAACAAUAACAAUAACCCAGUAUAAUCCCACUAGUGGGGUCUGGGGAGGGUAUUGUGUACGCAGACCUUACCCCUACCUUGGGGUAGAGAGGCUGUUUUCGAUAGACCCUCGGCUCCCUCCCUCCAAGAACUACCCACCUUGCUCUUGGGGUGACUCGAACUCACAACCUCUUGGUUGAAAGUGGAGGGUGCUCACUACUAGAGCAACACACUCUUGUCAUAUCUUUUUAUAAAUAUCAAUUUGUUGAUUUUGAUGAUGCGCUUCAUAAAAUUUAUCUCGUUCCACACUGUAAUUUCCCAGCUUUCUAAUAUGGAUUUGCACAGUUACAGAAUAAAUCAUGGUUAUAUAACAUCAUAAUUUUAUAUAGUAAAAAAGACUACAAUGAAACUCAAUAAGUUUAGUCUGCUUCUAAUACUGUAUCAUGAGAUGAGAAUCUCUAACAAUUUCAUUUUAUGAUUAUCAAAAUCCAAAAUUUAUCUAUAAAAUAAAGAUUCCACUCAAAUAUUUGUAUCUCUAUAACACAAAAAGGCAAAACAAACACAAAAAUACAACAUGUAAAAGAUAACUUUCGUGAAUUAGGAUAUGAGGAGAUAUGCUUUAAUAUUGUUACGAAGUCCAUGUACGUACGGGAAUUAUAUUCUUAUAGUAUUAUGAGACUUAGACUCCAAGAAAUCUUUGUUUAUAUAUUUUGUUAUAUUUCAUGUUUGAAUUUAUGAAAGAGAGGAUUUUUUUAAAAUAGUAUCAGAGCAAGUUAUUGAAUAUUUUUUUUUGUCUCUUCUCUUCACAGUUCACAAUUUAAUAGCGAGACAAAAGGAGCUAUGGAUGACGACUUAAUUUUUGAACGUGCGUCAUCCAUAUUACUCUAUGGAUAUAGUGAUUCAGAUUGGGGAGGUAACGUUGAUGAUCGUAGGUCCACUGUUGGAUUUGCUAUUUUUUCUUGUUGGCUUGCACUUGAUUUCUUAGGCCUCUCUGAAGCGAAAAAUUAUCUCGCAGUCAAGCACUAAGGUAGAAUAUUGAGCACUAGUUAUUGCCAUGUCUGGAAUCACAUGUGGUACACCUCCCUUUUCCUGAAGGUAUAGGAUUUGUUUUCCAAUUUAAAGUGACAUGAUUCAAAAUGAGAUUAUUUAUUUAUUUAUUCAGAGUCACCACUUGGAAUAAUUUAUGGUGUCUCAAGUCACCGGAUUAUUUUAAAUCCCAAAUCGAGAAAAUUUGACUCUGUUUAAAGUCUGCAAAUACAUAAGACCGGGUAAGGAAUUCUGUUAACUCGGAAAAAUGUGUUAUGCAUUCCCGAGUUCCGUGGUUUUAGCACGGUCGCUUAACUAUUAAUAAUUGGUUAAUUACCUGAUUUAUUAUAUAUUUGGAACCUAUUGUGCAUUUUUAACUUCUAACCGCUUUUAAUAGAGUUUUAAUUGCUUUUAGGAUUUAUGAAAUUUAUUUGAAUAAGUCGCGAUAUCGCGCACUUAUUAUUUUUUUUACACAUUGUGAAUCGUGUCACGUGAAAUGUACCCGCGGUCUACAACAUGUUUAUUUUUAUUAUUGUUUGAAGUUGAGAUCGAGUCACGUGAAACGCACACUCGAAUUGGGGUUAUGUAUCAUGACUAUGCCACGGAAAAUGUACCCAUAGUCACGAUAAUUUAUUAAUCGCGCCAAAAGCAAGCUACGAAUUUGAAAUAUUUUUCCUCAUUUGAGAUUAUUGCAAAGCAUGAGAUUUAUGAAAGAUUAUUAUGGAGGAAAUAGAGUAAAUUAAUUAUAGAAAAAGGUAGGCUAGCUUAUGAAUUUUAUUAAUAUGCCUUGUAGAAUCUUGUCAUUUGGUCCAAGAGCUAAAAAAAGUAAAAAUAAAAUGUGGUUCAUUACUCUACUCUAAUCCCAAUUGACCAAAUGGUCCAAAUGCUAUUUAUGAUACCAAACCCCAAACCUUUAUCUUAAAAUCUAAAAUGUUUAUCACAUGUCCAUCAUCACCCCUAACAAAUGUUAACAAACAGAAAACAAUUUAACAGCUUAUGCAAAUUACGAACAGGAAAAGAAAGAAGAAAGAAAAAUUAAAUGAAAGAAAAAAUAAUAAAUUUAAAAAAAAACACUCAAACAAUCAGCACCUAUUUACAAGAAAAAUUCGCUCAAAAGGAAACUAUGAUUCCAAUUUAACAAACUUAAGACACUUUCGAAAGCUAAUCAUAAGAAGAACUAAAUAAUCAAGCUCAUAUAGCAGAAUAAAAGAAACUCAAUCCAUUUUCCACAUAUUACACAAAUAAAAAAUAUAUAUACUCAUAUGCUUAAGAAUAGAAUUAAAAAUUCAGUGAGAAAAACCAAUCUUAAUGGCUGAGAAGAAAACCAGAUCAAAGCAAAAAAGACCGACGAACCGAAGCUGUAAGCGAGAACCUCGAACGACUUCGAACUUUAAUUCUUACCUCGCUGAAUAAACGGCCUAUUAGUGUGUUUUGUGAGCUACGUUUUUGUAGGUUGUUUAGAGUAGAGAAGAGUGGUUUUCAAGCUGAAUUUAUGGGGAUCUCCAGCGAGUUUUGGGACUAUUUGCUAAAGGAUGGAACUUAGCUCAUGGGUUUUGGGUGAUUUUUGGCUGUAGAUCUCAAUUGCUGCGUUUUUCAGAAGAUAUUUCUGAUGAAGUGGUGUUGGAAGCAACAAUGAAUUCUUCUUCUUGUUGUUGCAUUAUCAUCUACCAUGUUUUCCAAUCGAAGGUCCUUGAGCUUAUCCAAGAUCCACCCGUUUUUCCCUCUUUAAAUUCCCUCACUCCCGAUCUGCCUUUUUCUCUUAUUUUUUAUUUUUUUGAUCUGUUGUGGAUCCCCUCUUGAAUCAUAGAAUGAGAGCCUUUUAAUGAUGUAGGUUAUUUUAGGGGGAAAAUCUGAUGGGGUUUUGGCUAUUGGGCUCAGAUUUGGCCCAAUUUGGGCCAUGACUUGGGCAUUUGAACAAAGCAAGACUUUAGGAGAACUAGUCCAAAUUAAAACUUUUUUUUUGUGAUUGUAAUUUUCUUUUAGGAUUUAUGAAAUUUAUUUGAAUAAGUUUCAAUGUCGCGCACUUAUUGUUUUUGUACACAUUAUGAAUCACGUCACGUGAAACACACCCGCGGUCUGCAACAUGUUUAUUUUUAUUAUUGUUUGAAGUUGAGAUCGAGUCACGUGAAACGCGCACUCGAAUUGGGGUUAUGUAUCAUGACUAUGGCACGGGAACCGUAUCCACAAUCACGAUGAUCGCGACUAAAGCAAGCUACAAAUUUGAACUAUUUUUCCUUUUUUGAGAUUAUUGCAAAGCAUGAGAGUUAUGGAAGAUUAUUAUGGAAGAAAUGGUGUAAAUUAAUUAUAAAAAAAGGUAGGCUAGCUUAUGAAUUUUAUUAUUAUGGGCCUUGUAGAAUCUUGUCAUUUGACCCAAGAACUAAAAAAAAUCUGGUUCAUUACUCUACUCUAAUCCUAGUUGACCGAAUGACCCAAAUGUUAUUUAUGAUAUCAAACCCCAAACUUUUAUCUUAAAAUCCAAAAUGUUCAUCAUAGAUCCAUCAUCACCCCUAACAAAUGUUAACAAACAGAAAACAACUUAAAACAACUUAUGCAAAUUACGAACAGGAAAAGAAAGAAUAAAGAAAAAUUAAAUGAAAGAAAAAUAAUAAAUUUAAAAAAAAACACUCAAAGAAUCAACACCUAUUUACAAGAAAAAAUCGCUCAAAAGGAAACUAUGAUUCCAAUUUAACAAACUUAAGACACUUUCGAAAGCUAAUCAUAAGGACUAAAUAAUCAAGCUCAUAUAGCAGAAUAAAAGAAACUCAAUUCAUUUUCCACAUGUUACACGAAUCAAAAACAUAUAAUCAUAUGCUUAAGAAUAGAAUUAAAAAUAUAGUGGGAAAAACCAACCUUAAUGGCUGAGAAGAAAACCGGAUCAAAACAAAAGAAGACUGACGAACCGGAGCUGUAAUCGAGAACCUCGAACGACUUCAAACUUUAAUUCUUACCUUGCUGAAUAAAUGACCUAUGAGUGCGUUUUGUGAGCUACGUUUUUGUAGGUUGUUUAGAGUAGAGAAGGGUGGUUUUCAAGCCGAAUUUAUGGGGAUCUCCAGCGAGUUUGGGGACUAUUUGCUAACGGAUGGAACUUAGCUCAUGGGUUUUGGGUAAUUUUUGGCUGUAGAUCUCAAUUGCUGCGUUUUUCAGAUGAUGUUUCUGAUGAAGUGGUGUUGGAAGCAACAAUGAAUUUUUCUUCUUCUUGUUGCAUUAUCAUUUGCCCUGUUUUCCAAUCGAAGGUCCUUGAGCUUAUCCAAGAUCCACCAGUUUUCCCCUCUUUAAAUUCCCUCACUCUCGAUUUGCCUUUUUCUCUCGUUUUUUAUUUUUUAAUCUGUUGCGGCUCCCCUCUUGAAU